RNAcentral lists this ribosomal RNA (380 nucleotides) under Entomoneis sp. Its description in RNAcentral is "partial small subunit ribosomal RNA". It matches the Rfam family "Eukaryotic small subunit ribosomal RNA", at positions 582 to 975 of the family's 1831-position model. Lineage: Eukaryota; Bacillariophyta; Bacillariophyceae; Surirellales; Surirellaceae. The record is from RNAcentral.
AUUCCAGCUCCAAUAGCGUAUAUUAAAGUUGUUGCAGUUAAAAAGCUCGUAGCUGGACUUGUGCGUGCCCCCGAUGUCCUUUUUGGUACGUUCGGGGGUGUGCAUCCUUGGGUGGAACCUGCGUGGCAUUAGGUUGUCGGGCAGGGGAUGCUCAUCGUUUACUGUGAAAAAAUUAGAGUGUUCAAAGCAGGCUUACGCCGUUGAAUAUAUUAGCAUGGAAUAAUAAGAUAGGACCUUGGUACUAUUUUGUUGGUUUGCGCACCGAGGUAAUGAUUAACAGGGACAGUUGGGGGUAUUCGUAUUCCAUUGUCAGAGGUGAAAUUCUUGGAUUUUUGGAAGACGAACUACUGCGAAAGCAUUUACCAAGGAUGUUUUCAUUA